UUUCAAUUUAAUGAAUUUUGUCCAAUUUUUGAUAAAAUUUGCAUUCGGGCAAGAUGUCCAAUUGCUACAUAGAUUAUGAUAAAUUGUGACUGGUGAUAUUUAAUAAAAAACUGGUGAAAACGAAUUAAACCAGUACGUUUAUCCCAUCCAUGGACAUCAAAUACAAAAGUUUUCAUUUGUGUAAACUUUGCAACGUCCUUCAAUGUAUUUUUUCCUCUCCAAAUUCGGAAGGAAACCGUGCCCUUCUCCCAAAUACCACUUCGUGAGAAUUCAUGCCGGUGCACUCGGGAACGGAAGUAUUAAAGGAAAAAAUGGCAAACGGAAGCCAUUGGUCCCAGCUACUUUGCUCACUGUAAUUUCGUUCGAGAGUCUAAUUAUGGAAUUGUCCAGUAAUUCCCUACCCAGGGGUGUAGUAAGUACCCCAUCACAUGAAACGAAAUUCAGUUUAUUGUCAUCCCUCAUCCAUACUUUAUCUCGACUCAACUGAAAUAAUGGUAUGGCGGGUGCCCAUAGGACGCAACCCCCUUCCGUACUCUGCAUAGAAGAGUCAACUAAAAACUCAACAGCCGUACUCUCACAAACGGCAUCAUCACUCUGGAUAGAAGGUGCCCAUAGGACGCAACCUCCUUCCGUAUUCUCGUGGUCUAUCAAAAGCUCUGCGGGUACGGUCUCAUCUUCCGCGUGGCCAGCUGGUCCACCAAAUACCCCCUCUGGAAGGCAAGUGCCUAUAGGACGCAACCUCCUUCCCGGGGACCGUGCCAUCUCCAUCGAGGACACCUCCCCCAGGGACCGGACACCACAAUAAGCGGUUCCUUCCCGACUCGGAAUGGAAGAGCCGACGCCAAAACUGGCCAUCUCUCUCCCCCUUCCUUCAGCCUCUCUCUCAGUCAAGCGCUUUCUUCCGGAGGUGCCAAAGCCCCGUGCCCUCAUCGCACUUCCGUAACCAGGGAGAAGAGGGGAGGUCUGUGCGCUCACCUCACUGCCACCCGCACCCGGAGUUUCCUCAUGGCCAUUGAGUAACACAGAAACAGGUGUAAUGGAGCGAGCUGAAUUGCACCCCUCCGAAACCUGCGCAUCAUUUCCUGUCUCGUCUUCACCCUGGCGGGACCCGCAUCAACCGGAGCUAGGCUGGGGUAUAGAGCUUACCACCUGACAAUCACUCAACCUUGGAACUUCAUGUCCCCCUGAGACCAAACUGUCUCCAACUUCCUCAACAAAUGCUUCAUUCACUUCUAUUUCACCUUCAAAACAACAAAUAGCAACAAAAACUCUUUCUAUAGGAUAUUCGUGGUAGAUGACUUUGCUUCUGGAGAAGCAGCCAAUAUUCGACCUACAGCCCUUUGCAGCAUCGUCAUGACCAUACACACCAUCAAUAUUCUCUUUACUCUUUUUCUCAUUAAAAUUUACUGAAUUUCGUGAAAGCGUAUCCGCAUUGGCAUUAACAAGACCUGGCUUGUAUACUAUUUUGCAUUCAUAUCCUUGUCAUUUUACUUUCCAACGAGAUAAACGGGAUCCCAUCGUAGGGUCCUUUAACUUGUCUAACCAUACUAAUGCUUUAUGAUCUGGAACCAACGUAAAUUUAGUACCAUAGAUAGAUGGUCGAAAAUGUUUAACAGCAAACGUAAUAGCUAACAGUUCCUUCUCUGUUGUUGUAUAAUUUAUUUCUGCUUUAUUCAUAGUUCGCAACGCAUACGCAAUAGGUAAAUCUUUACCAAUUUCACCUUGACUUAAUAUGGCUCCUAUAGCAAAAUCAGAUGCAUCUGUAGUAAUUAUGAAUGGCUUGUCGAAUUUCGGGUACUGCAAUAGCGGUUGCGCACAGAGAAUAUUUUUCAAUUUAUUAAAAGCGCUUUCGACACAAUCAGACCAGAAAAAUGGCACAUCCUUUUUUAAUAGCAAAGUCAAUGGUUUAGCAAUCGUAGCAAAAUUUGGUAUAAAUCGCCGGUAGUACCCUGCUAAGCCCAAAAACUAUUUAACAUUUUUACGACCCUUAGGACGAGGGAAGUUGCUCACGGCCUCGAUUUUUUUUGGAUCAGGUUUAACCCCAUCUUCAGAAAUUAUGUGACCCAAAUAUCAAAUUUCUUUGCAUAAAAACCUACAUUUAUCGGGUUGCAAAAUAAGUCCAGCAGUCUUUAAACGUCCUAAUAAUUUUUUUAAUUUUUCGUUGUAUUCUUGUACAGAUUUAUCGUAAAUGACAAUAUCGUCCAUAUAUACAGAGAGUUCAAUCCCUUGCAACCCUGAUAAAACAAUAUCCAUUAACCGUUGAAACGUGGCGGGUGCUGAUUUUAGACCAAAAGGCAUCCUAUUAAAUUCGAGAUGGUCAAAAAGGUUCGGAAAAGCUGUCUUAUGUUGGUCCGCCGGAUCGAUUUCGAUCUGGUGAAACCCAGACGCGAGAUCGAUUACGGUGCAAUAUCGAGAGCCACCCAACUGAUCCAAUAUAGAUGUAAUAUUAGGGAGAGGGUAAGCAGCCCCGACAGUCCUUUCGUUAAGAGCGCGAUAGUCUAUGACCAUUUGCCACCUUUUGUUACCCUUAAAGUCCACCUUUUUCGGUACUACCCAAACGGAAGAGUUAUAAGGUGAGCUAGAAGACGAUACUGCAUUUUGUUCUUUUAAUUUACUUGUUUCUUGUGCUAUUACUUCUUUAUGUACUACGGGAUACCUAUAGUUUGGUUUAUUUACGGGUGUGUCAUCUACGGUUCUAAUUUUAUGUUUCAAAGCAUUCGUACAACCUAAUUUGUCUCCUUCCAAAAAGAAUUGAUAAGGAAAUUAUCUUAAACUUUUCAAAAGACUUUCUUUUUCCUAUUUGUUCAAAUUGGAUAAAUGAAAUUCUGGUGGUAAUUUUUUAAAUCGUUCAGCGGGAGUAGUGUUGCGUUUUUUAUUAGUAAUGCAUUUUUUAACGUUUUUACUAGUGUCUUUAGUAUUGUUUUCGUUAGAAUUUGGGUUGGCUUCGUUACCGUCUUCACUAUUUUCUUCAUUCAAGUUUUUGUUAAUGUCUUUACUCGCAGAUUUAGAAAUUGAUUCAACAGUCUCGAAUAUUACCCUCUUUUACGGUUGCUAAAGAUUUUCUCAAAAAUAUGCCUGUUUGGUAUUAAGGGCAUAUAUCCUUCUGUCAAAUCGGCAUUAGUUACUGGUAAAGUUACUCAUUGUUUGGUACGAGCUUUUAAAAUAAGUGUAGUGCCCCUCUUGGGUGAAGUUGCAAUUGACGAACUGGAACGUUAGGAAAGGCAUUCCUAACAUUCCGUCGCACCUUACGGGAAAAUUAUUUGGUACUAUUUGGAAAGGACAAUCAACCUCAUUAAUAUUUAUGUACACUUCUCCAGAGGUCUUUACCUCUUGACUGGUAAUUCCAAAUAAAUGAUAUCUGACAUCAAAA
Molecule: RNA transcript, 3370 nt
Organism: Belonocnema kinseyi
Lineage: Eukaryota; Metazoa; Arthropoda; Insecta; Hymenoptera; Cynipidae
Exons: 4
Source: RefSeq, a predicted model, not a curated record